This 1891-nucleotide long non-coding RNA is filed under the name Gallus gallus (chicken). Its description in RNAcentral is "lncRNA (ENSGALG00010015600.1)". Lineage: Eukaryota; Metazoa; Chordata; Aves; Galliformes; Phasianidae. The record is from RNAcentral.
CCACAAUCAAAUUAUAGCAAUCUGCUUUUUUCCAAAUGGUUCACAGCAGACUCAAGUUGAAGUGUGCAGGAGGCAAAGCACUGCACAUGGCAACGACCUCGUGUAUCUUGCAUCACAGAUCAGAGAUAUUUACUUUUUCUCAGCUACGUGACCCUGAAUUAGCAGCUACAGUGGCACAAGCACCAUUGCUAUGGUUACUGUCACAUAAUGUCAUCUUUCUGAGGCUCCAAAGCCACUUACAGGUGUGAGAGGUCAGUCAGUAAUGAUUUCAGUAUAGAAGUGCAAUACUUUUGUCUGAGAAAGGGUGACGAGAAAGGCAGCAGGGGUUAAACCCAAAGAAGCAAACAAAGUGGUGGAAAGCAAAGACUGGCAAUGAGUACAUUUCCUGCCACACCAGAAGAUAUCGAUCCUUGUGUGUCAUCUCAGUUCUCCUGGCUUGCUGAGUGCUUCUGAGUACAAACACAGAACCAACAUCCCUCAGGAGAUUGCAAACUUUUUAGGGAACUCAAAAGACAGGGUCAGUGCAUGGAGGUUGAGACAUGCUGAAUCAAAGCUCUUCUGACCCUGGAAAGUUCCCUGGUCUUGCAAAAAGGACUUUCAUUUUCCACUUCUGAGAAAGACCCAUUAAACUGUAGUAAAUUUCUCUCUGGUUGAGUCUUGAUUUUGCCUCAAGUUUGAGAUGGACAGCAGCUGGUGUACUUCCUUGGAGGUAUUUUAGAGAUGGGACUGAUGCUAAUUCAUUAUUAACAUUAACCUGUGAGGAAUUGCUGCGUCCUUCUUGCUGGACCUUGUCUUCUUGGACCACAUUCAAGCAGAUGCACCAGGAGGAUUGGCCCAACAAGUCCAUUAGCAGUUGAGCAGCAGGUGGCCAGUGUGAGAUGAGACUGAUGGCCAUGCACAGGAGAGCUCUGCCUGUUGAGAUGACCAGUGCACAGACUGGGGCUAGAUUUCUUACUUAUACAUGAGACAUUGUUGUCUUCUUACGUGCCAUUGUUUUCUUUGUUACCUUCCCUUUCCCCAGAGCAAGCGCCGCAGAUGUUGGAAAAGAGAGUGGAGUUGGUCUGAUUUUGCUUCUCUUUUAGGAAAGCCAGUUCAUGCUUUGCCUAGCAGAUUUCUGUGAGUGAAGAUCCUUGCUUCUCUUUCUUGCUUCUCCUUUUUUUGCUUAUUGGCUUUGAGUUUCUGCGCAACUAGUAAGAGGCAGCCUAUUAAGGUUUGGAUUUGCCCAUUAAAUGAGAGGGUAGUGUAUACCCUAUCUCCUUUCUCACUUCAUGUCACUGAGCUGAAGGAGCACAGCAACAUUUUGCUGUCUGAAUCAACAGACACUAUUUCACAAACGUUCAUUCAAAGUGCAGCAAUAGCAAAAGCUUGAGUGUCAUGUUAUUUGCAAAUUUUUGUUUGUUUGUUUUUGCCUGUUCACAACUCGUGCCUCAAGGAUCACAAGUCUCCAGGGCUGGCUCUUUCACUGGACUAUUCAGUAGAAUGAGUAAUGCUUCCCUCUUUGCCUCUUUUUUUUUCCUUCUCAAAAGGUAAUUUUGGUUUAACUGGUUUAGCUGCCUUUGUCUUUUGAGCAGAACUGAUAUUGCUUUAUUGCAACUGUGUGUACAAGUCUCCUAAGGGGAUCCUAAAGAUCCACAGAGGCCACGUUCCUCUUUAGAAAACAAGCUGACUCCUGAAAGCUAUUAUCAGGAAUGUCAGAAGGCCAACAUUGGUGGGUGUGUGUGCUAAAAAAGUAAAGUUAAACCAGCAAGGCACUGCAUUCUCCUGUUCCUUCUCAUCUGUUGUCUGACAUCAAAACAAACUUGCUACCUGUACUCUGUCUGUUGUGUGGGUGGGGAAAGAAUUGAAGUUCCACAGUUAAUGGGGACGUCUUGUAAGAGGUAGACAAACAGGA